UCGAGAAUCUUCCACAAUGGACGAAAGUCUGAUGGAGCGACGCCGCGUGAGUGAUGAAGGCCCUACGGGUUGUAAAACUCUGUCAGGAGAGAAGAAUCGCCGGGGUGCCAAUACCACCCUGGUCUGACGUUAUCUCCAGAGGAAGCUCCGGCUAACUCCGUGCCAGCAGCCGCGGUAAUACGGGGGGAGCAAGCGUUGUCCGGAAUUAUUGGGCGUAAAGGGCGUGUAGGCGGCCUGGUCAGUCGAAUGUGAAAUCCCACGGCUCAACCGUGGAACUGCGUUCGAUACUGCCUGGCUUGAGUAUGUGAGAGGUGUGCGGAAUUCCUGGUGUAGCGGUGGAAUGCGUAGAUAUCAGGAAGAACACCGAUGGCGAAGGCAGCACACUGGCGCAAUACUGACGCUGAGGCGCGAAAGCGUGGGGAGCAAACAGG
Molecule: ribosomal RNA, 431 nt
Filed under: uncultured bacterium
Lineage: Bacteria
Description: bacterial SSU rRNA
Rfam family: Bacterial small subunit ribosomal RNA
Source: RNAcentral